GUCAAAUACAUGGUAUGUAGUGUGUGUAAUGUUUUCUUUAUUGAUUUAAUGUAUCUUUUAUGCAUUAUUUAAAAAAAAAUAGCAUUGUGCACUUCUUCUCUAUAUUCUCUAUAAGUGUGGAAAAUUUCAUACUCCUCCGUCCGCGCAAAUUUCGUAAAAAGGGAUACAAAGUUUUUGCUUCACGUAUUAAUAUAUAGAUAGAGCACUUACGCUUAGCCGACAUCUGGUACUCUUCGUGUUUACAUUUAGCAUUCUAGACGAACGACGCUCGUACUAGACUAACGCUGAUCACGGAAAUUCCACACACGUUUUAGAAGAUUUGACGUCAUUGUCGUUUUGCCGAUACUCAGAGAGCAAGUAUAUGUACUGCCGAAGCAAGUACAAAGAAGAAGAGAUGAAGAAUGAAGAAAGAAGUCGAUCCCACCCAUCAACAUCAAGCCUGCCUGAUACUCCAUCCAGCAGCGCAUCACCCCUGCCUCAAUAGGCAGGGAGUCACUUGUCCGGGCAGAGGGGUUUCCCCGAGGCCCGCUCCGCGCCUCCGCAAGGGGACGCGACGACCCCACGACGACGCGGUUGGCGUGAUUGCAUGCCACCAUCGAAAGCCAGCCAAAGUUUCCGGUGCCCAUAAUGACAAGGUUGCGCUAUGAAAGUGCAGAGUAUUCAAAACUAGUGGCUGUCAAAUAUCCAAACACAAAAAAACUGAAGAAGAUAAUAAGAAAAAAUGAAUUAUUAAAAAUUUCGUUCUAGCACAUAUAAGGUUUUUUGUUUCUUUGAAAAAGUGCACAGUAUUGUAACACACAGUCAUAAUCACAUACAUAUUUCUGUAAUAAACGAUUUUGUAUUUCA
Bombyx mori (domestic silkworm) is the source of this 846-nucleotide long non-coding RNA. RefSeq lists it as uncharacterized. The record is from RefSeq and is a predicted model, not a curated record. The transcript is spliced from 3 exons. NCBI's taxonomy places the organism in Eukaryota, Metazoa, Arthropoda, Insecta, Lepidoptera, Bombycidae.